GUUGUCAUAUUAUCUGCAAAUAGUAAACGGUUGUGAAUGUAUAAUCGAAGGAUUCAUGAUGUAAAAUUGGACACAAGGACUAGUUCACUGCAGCUCAUUAUUCAUACUUCGUGUGUAGAUGGUCAGUUAAGGCAUAACAUACUUAUAUAGUUCAUACAACAACGUGUCAUUUAGAUUGUAGACUGUGGUUUGCGCUUCUGUGGACCCCCAGUGAAGUGCGAUACUGCGAGUUGAUGUCCGGUGAUGACCGGUCGAAAUACGAGAACAUAUGGACAGAUAACGAAAUGUAAUCGGAAACCAUCGAAAAUCCCAGCUUAAGUGAAAUCAAACCAUAUAAAAUGAAAAGGAUAUUACUGUAGUUACAGUUCAACAAGCUAAAUACGAUUCAAAAACAUUUUGUUGAGAUUAUUACAAUAGGUAUGGAAAAUGGCGCUUUUUCUGCAU
Molecule: long non-coding RNA, 444 nt
Organism: Aphis gossypii (cotton aphid)
Lineage: Eukaryota; Metazoa; Arthropoda; Insecta; Hemiptera; Aphididae
Exons: 3
Source: RefSeq, a predicted model, not a curated record